Molecule: ribosomal RNA, 253 nt
Filed under: uncultured bacterium
Lineage: Bacteria
Description: partial 16S ribosomal RNA
Rfam family: Bacterial small subunit ribosomal RNA
Source: RNAcentral
UACGUAGGGAGCAAGCGUUGUUCGGAUUUACUGGGCGUAAAGGGCGCGUAGGCGGCGCGGUAAGUCACUUGUGAAAUCUCUGAGCUUAACUCAGAACGGCCAAGUGAUACUGCAGUGCUAGAGUGCAGAAAGGGCAAUCGGAAUUCUUGGUGUAGCGGUGAAAUGCGUAGAUAUCAGGAGGAACACCGGUGGCGAAGGCGGAUCUCUGGGCCUUACCUGACGCUCAGGCACGAAAGCUAGGGGAGCGAACGGG